AACGAACGCUGGCGGCAUGCCUAACACAUGCAAGUCGAACGAUGCCUUCGGGCAUAGUGGCGCACGGGUGCGUAACGCGUGGGAAUCUGCCUUUCGGUUCGGAAUAACUCAGGGAAACUUGAGCUAAUACCGGAUAACGUCGCAAGACCAAAGAUUUAUCACCGAAAGAUGAGCCCGCGUAGGAUUAGCUAGUUGGUGAGGUAAAGGCUCACCAAGGCGACGAUCCUUAGCUGGUCUGAGAGGAUGAUCAGCCACACUGGGACUGAGACACGGCCCAGACUCCUACGGGAGGGAGCAGUAGGGAAUAUUGGACGAUGGGCGAAAGCCUGAUCCAGCAAUGCCGCGUGAGUGAUGAAGGCCUUAGGGUUGUAAAGCUCUUUUACCCGGGAAGAUAAUGACGGUACCGGGAGAAUAAGCCCCGGCUAACUCCGUG
Molecule: ribosomal RNA, 433 nt
Filed under: uncultured bacterium
Lineage: Bacteria
Description: partial 16S ribosomal RNA
Rfam family: Bacterial small subunit ribosomal RNA
Source: RNAcentral